This 497-nucleotide ribosomal RNA is filed under the name uncultured bacterium. RNAcentral's name for it is "partial 16S ribosomal RNA". It matches the Rfam family "Bacterial small subunit ribosomal RNA", at positions 28 to 507 of the family's 1533-position model. The record is from RNAcentral.
GAUGAACGCUGGCGGCGUGCCUAAUACAUGCAAGUCGAGCGAACAGACGAGGAGCUUGCUCCUCUGACGUUAGCGGCGGACGGGUGAGUAACACGUGGAUAACCUACCUAUAAGACUGGGAUAACUUCGGGAAACCGGAGCGAAUACCGGAUAAUAUAUUGAACCGCAUGGUUCAAUAGUGAAAGACGGUUUUGCUGUCACUUAUAGAUGGAUCCGCGCCGCAUUAGCUAGUUGGUAAGGUAACGGCUUACCAAGGCAACGAUGCGUAGCCGACCUGAGAGGGUGAUCGGCCACCAUGGAACUGAGACACGGUCCAGCCUCCUACGGGAGGCAGCAGUAGGGAAUCUUCCGCAAUGGGCGAAAGCCUGACGGAGCAACGCCGCGUGAGUGAUGAAGGUCUUCGGAUCGUAAAACUCUGUUAUUAGGGAAGAACAAAUGUGUAAGUAACUAUGCACGUCUUGACGGUACCUAAUCAGAAAGCCACGGCUAACUACGUG